AGAGUUUGAUCAUGGCUCAGAACGUACGCUGGCGGCACGCUUAACACAUGCAAGUCGAACGAAGUAGCAAUACUUAGUGGCAGACGGGUGAGUAACAUGUGGGUAUCUGCCCUUUGGCCUGGAAUAACACGAGGAAACUUGUGCUAAUACCGGAUAAGUCUUUACGGAGAAAGCUUUAUGCACCAUUGGAUGAGCCCGCACUUGAUUAGUUUGUUGGUGGGGUAAUGGCCUACCAAGACUGUGAUCAAUAGCUGAUUUGAGAGGAUGAUCAGCCACAUUGGGACUGAGACACGGCCCAAACUCCUACGGGAGGCAGCAGUGGGGAAUCUUGCACAAUGGAGGAAACUCUGAUGCAGCGAUGCCGCGUGAGUGAAGAAGGCCCUUGGGUUGUAAAGCUCUUUCGUCGGGGAAGAAAAUGACUGUACCCGAAUAAGAAGGUCCGGCUAACUUCGUGCCAGCAGCCGCGGUAAUACGAAGGGACCUAGCGUAGUUCGGAAUUACUGGGCUUAAAGAGUUCGUAGGUGGUUGAAAAAGUUAGUGGUGAAAUCCCANAGCUUAACUCUGGAACUGCCAUUAAAACUUUUCAGCU
Molecule: ribosomal RNA, 589 nt
Filed under: uncultured Alphaproteobacteria bacterium
Lineage: Bacteria; Pseudomonadati; Pseudomonadota; Alphaproteobacteria
Description: bacterial SSU rRNA
Rfam family: Bacterial small subunit ribosomal RNA
Source: RNAcentral